CCGGCAAGUGACUUCCCAGGAGGCGUCGAGGCAGGAAUAUUCCCCGAAGCCCCGCUAGCCCUUCAAGGCUGGUAGCUUGCCGGGCUGCUUGUAGUUGCCGCCCGGGAUGACGAGGCCCACGCGUCGUGCAACGGUGGUACCCCGGUUGCCACUGGUGCGACAAAUAUGGUUGGCAGGCCCCUGUCGCGCUGCGCUAUAUAAAGAGGUGGGUGGCCGGGGCACGCACUACGAGGUUGACCGCGUUGCCACCACUCCACCAAAAUACCCCUACCGAUCUAGGGUUGCGUAGAGAGCAACGGGAAGCUCCGUCCACGCCGUCGCCCCCGCCGCCGCUCCCUCUCCGUCAUGUCGUCUACGCCGGCAUCUUCGAGCAGCCAAGGGGAAGGUACCCAUCUCCGUCUCUCUCUCUCUCAAUCCCGAACCAAGAACAUUCACAGUAGAGCUAUCCCUAUCCCGUCUAGAUCUACUCCUAGUGUAAUCUAGGAAACCUAACAAUGGUAUCAGAGCUUGUUAAGAGUUGUAGAUCGGGAUAGAAAAAAAAAGGAAAGAAGAAAGAAAAAGCAAAAAGAAAAAGAAAAGAAACCCUAGCUGCCGGAGACUUACCCGAGGAUGGCCGCCGGUCACCUCCAUGGGUCGCCGGGAAAGGGCGGCCGCCACUGAUCCCUUGACGGCGACGCGCGCACCCUCGGGUGCACGCGCACGCCGGCAAGAGGCCAGUGAGGCCGUCGUGGAAGCCAGGGCGGUGCCGCCGUCAAGGUCAAAGAAAGAGGCAUGGGGGAGAGGAGGGACCGGGCCCGUUGUCACCGACGGGGCCGCGGCUCGUCGGCCACUCGCCGGUCGCAGCCCUCCAUUCGCUGCCGUUGCCACCCUCCUGGUAUCUCACGCCGGGGGAGUGGAAAAGAAAAUAUGAAGAUAAAAGAGAGGGCGGCAGGAUGGGGCUCAGCCUCGCCGUCGCUGGGCGGGCGGUCGCCAUGCUCGAGCGCCGCCGCUGCCAGAGAAGAGACGGACAAAGGAGGAAAAAUUUAGGGUUUUCUUGGUUAGGGUUUCGGUCGGAGUUCUUUUAACUGAACCGAAAGUUACGCGUGGCCGUCCGAUGCAAAUCAACGGUCC
Molecule: long non-coding RNA, 1110 nt
Filed under: Brachypodium distachyon (stiff brome)
Lineage: Eukaryota; Viridiplantae; Streptophyta; Magnoliopsida; Poales; Poaceae
Description: long non-coding RNA (BDIS_LNC004812)
Source: RNAcentral